GACGAACGCGGCGGCGUGCCUAAUACAUGCAAGUCGAACGAACCGCGACUAGGUGCUUGCACUUGGUCAAGGUGAGUGGCGAACGGGUGAGUAACACGUGGGUAACCUACCUCAUAGUGGGGGAUAACAGUCGGAAACGACUGCUAAUACCGCAUAGGACAUGGGAUCGCAUGAUUCUGUGAGGAAAGGUGGCGCAAGCUAUCGCUAAGAGAUGGACCCGCGGUGCAUUAGCUAGUUGGUAGGGUAACGGCCUACCAAGGCGAUGAUGCAUAGUCGACCUGAGAGGGUGAUCGGCCACAUUGGGACUGAGACACGGCCCAAACUCCUACGGGAGGCAGCAGUAGGGAAUCUUCCGCAAUGGACGCAAGUCUGACGGAGCAACGCCGCGUGAGUGAAGAAGGUCUUCGGAUCGUAAAGCUCUGUUGUUAGAGAAGAACAGCGCAUAGAGUAAACUGUUAUGCGUGUGACGGAU
RNAcentral lists this ribosomal RNA (472 nucleotides) under Abiotrophia defectiva. RNAcentral's name for it is "bacterial SSU rRNA". It matches the Rfam family "Bacterial small subunit ribosomal RNA", at positions 28 to 477 of the family's 1533-position model. Lineage: Bacteria; Bacillati; Bacillota; Bacilli; Lactobacillales; Aerococcaceae. The record is from RNAcentral.